Molecule: ribosomal RNA, 442 nt
Filed under: uncultured bacterium
Lineage: Bacteria
Description: bacterial SSU rRNA
Rfam family: Bacterial small subunit ribosomal RNA
Source: RNAcentral
GAUGAACGCUGGCGGCGUGCUUAACACAUGCAAGUCGAGCGAAGCGCUUUGGAAAGAUUCUUCGGAUGAUUUCCUUUGUGACUGAGCGGCGGACGGGUGAGUAACGCGUGGGUAACCUGCCUCAUACAGGGGGAUAACAGUUAGAAAUGACUGCUAAUACCGCAUAAGACCACGGUACCGCAUGGUACAGUGGUAAAAACUCCGGUGGUAUGAGAUGGACCCGCGUCUGAUUAGGUAGUUGGUGGGGUAACGGCCUACCAAGCCGACGAUCAGUAGCCGACCUGAGAGGGUGACCGGCCACAUUGGGACUGAGACACGGCCCAGACUCCUACGGGAGGCAGCAGUGGGGAAUAUUGCACAAUGGAGGAAACUCUGAUGCAGCGACGCCGCGUGAAGGAUGAAGUAUUUCGGUAUGUAAACUUCUAUCAGCAGGGAAGAAAAU